RNAcentral lists this ribosomal RNA (465 nucleotides) under Vreelandella stevensii. Its description in RNAcentral is "partial 16S ribosomal RNA". It matches the Rfam family "Bacterial small subunit ribosomal RNA", at positions 338 to 795 of the family's 1533-position model. Lineage: Bacteria; Pseudomonadati; Pseudomonadota; Gammaproteobacteria; Oceanospirillales; Halomonadaceae. The record is from RNAcentral.
CCUACGGGAGGCAGCAGUGGGGAAUAUUGGACAAUGGGGGGAACCCUGAUCCAGCCAUGCCGCGUGUGUGAAGAAGGCCCUCGGGUUGUAAAGCACUUUCAGUGAGGAAGAACGCCUGGUGGUGAAUACCCAUCAGGAAAGACAUCACUCACAGAAGAAGCACCGGCUAACUCCGUGCCAGCAGCCGCGGUAAUACGGAGGGUGCGAGCGUUAAUCGGAAUUACUGGGCGUAAAGCGCGCGUAGGUGGCUUGAUAAGCCGGUUGUGAAAGCCCCGGGCUCAACCUGGGAACGGCAUCCGGAACUGUCAAGCUAGAGUGCAGGAGAGGAAGGUAGAAUUCCCGGUGUAGCGGUGAAAUGCGUAGAGAUCGGGAGGAAUACCAGUGGCGAAGGCGGCCUUCUGGACUGACACUGACACUGAGGUGCGAAAGCGUGGGUAGCAAACAGGAUUAGAUACCCGAGUAGUC